UCAUUUGCCUUAUAAUUGAAGGCUAGUAUGAAUGGUUUGACAAGAAUAUUACUGUCUCUUUAUAAUUGAUUAGAAUUUUAUUUUAGGGUGAAGAAGCCUUAAUAAAAUUAAUAGACAAGAAGACCCUAUCGAGCUUUAAAAAAUUUAAUAGGUUUUAUUAAAUAUUAAAUAAAAAAUUAACUGUUAAAAAUUUUGGUUGGGGCGACUGAGGAACAAAAAAAGCUUCCUUUAAACUAAAUUGUUACAUACAAGUAUUAUGAUCCAAAAUUUUUGAUUAAAGGAAUUAGUUACCGUAGGGAUAACAGCAUUAUCUUUUUUGAGAGCUCUUAUCGAAAAAAAGGUUUGUGACCUCGAUGUUGGACCAGAAUAUCCUAAAGAUGCAGAAGUCUUUAAGGGUUGGUCUGUUCGACCAU
This 413-nucleotide ribosomal RNA is filed under the name Leucosyrinx luzonica. RNAcentral's name for it is "partial large subunit ribosomal RNA". It matches the Rfam family "Bacterial large subunit ribosomal RNA", at positions 1965 to 2588 of the family's 2925-position model. Lineage: Eukaryota; Metazoa; Mollusca; Gastropoda; Neogastropoda; Turridae. The record is from RNAcentral.